ACAGGCUUAACACAUGCAAGUCGUGGGGAAACGGCAUUAUGUGCUUGCACAUUCUGGACGUCGACCGGCGCACGGGUGAGUAUCGCGUAUCCAACCUGCCCCUUACUUGGGGAUACCCCGUUGAAAGACGGCCUAAUACCCGAUGUGUUUCAUUGACGGCAUCCGAUAUGAAACAAAGGUUUUUUCCGGUAAGGGAUGGGGAUGCGUCUGAUUAGCUAGUUGGCGGGGCAACGGCCCACCAAGGCGACGAUCAGUAGGGGUUCUGAGAGGAAGGUCCCCCACAUUGGAACUGAGACACGGUCCAAACUCCUACGGGAGGCAGCAGUGAGGAAUAUUGGUCAAUGGACGCAAAGUCUGAAACCAGCCAAAGUAGCGUGCAGGAUGACGGGCCCCUAUGGGUUGUAAACUGCUUUU
RNAcentral lists this ribosomal RNA (414 nucleotides) under Prevotella nigrescens. Its description in RNAcentral is "bacterial SSU rRNA". It matches the Rfam family "Bacterial small subunit ribosomal RNA", at positions 42 to 437 of the family's 1533-position model. Lineage: Bacteria; Pseudomonadati; Bacteroidota; Bacteroidia; Bacteroidales; Prevotellaceae. The record is from RNAcentral.